GGCCUCCUGGUGCUUACCACAGGCUGUGUUUUUACACUGACUGUACAGAAAGAGGAGGCAGAGCAAACCUGCCCCAUAUACACCCUAGCCCAGGCCACUGUGCCUGGUGGUCUGUACUGUGAAUGCAGAGACAUGG
RNAcentral lists this small nucleolar RNA (136 nucleotides) under Nannospalax galili (Upper Galilee mountains blind mole rat). RNAcentral's name for it is "Small nucleolar RNA SNORA51 (ENSNGAG00000003972.1)". It matches the Rfam family "Small nucleolar RNA SNORA51". From Rfam's summary of the family: ACA51 is a member of the H/ACA class of snoRNA that guide the sites of modification of uridines to pseudouridines. The record is from Rfam by way of RNAcentral. Lineage: Eukaryota; Metazoa; Chordata; Mammalia; Rodentia; Spalacidae.